GACGAACGCUGGCGGCGUGCUUAACACAUGCAAGUCGAACGGAAAGGCCCUGCUUUUGUGGGGUGCUCGAGUGGCGAACGGGUGAGUAACACGUGAGUAACCUGCCCUUGACUUUGGGAUAACUUCAGGAAACUGGGGCUAAUACCGGAUAGGAGCUCCUGCUGCAUGGUGGGGGUUGGAAAGUUUCGGCGGUUGGGGAUGGACUCGCGGCUUAUCAGCUUGUUGGUGGGGUAGUGGCUUACCAAGGCUUAGACGGGUAGCCGGCCUGAGAGGGUGACCGGCCACAUUGGGACUGAGAUACGGACCAGACUGCUACGGGAGGCAGCAGUGGGGAAUAUUGCACAAUGGGCGGAAGCCUGAUGCAGCAACGCCGCGUGCGGGAUGACGGCCUUCGGGUUAUAAACCGCUUUCGCCUGUGACGAAGCGUGAGUGACGGUAAUGGGUAAAGAAGCACCGGCUAACUACGUG
This 468-nucleotide ribosomal RNA is filed under the name uncultured bacterium. Its description in RNAcentral is "partial 16S ribosomal RNA". It matches the Rfam family "Bacterial small subunit ribosomal RNA", at positions 28 to 507 of the family's 1533-position model. The record is from RNAcentral.